Molecule: ribosomal RNA, 664 nt
Filed under: uncultured cyanobacterium
Lineage: Bacteria; Bacillati; Cyanobacteriota
Description: bacterial SSU rRNA
Rfam family: Bacterial small subunit ribosomal RNA
Source: RNAcentral
CGGACGGGUGAGUAACGCGUGAGAACCUGCCUUCAGGAUGGGGACAACAGCCGGAAACAGCUGCUAACACCCAAUGUGCCGCAAGGUGAAAAAUUUAUUGCCUGAAGAGGGGCUCGCGUCUGAUUAGCUAGUUGGAGAGGUAAAAGCUCACCAAGGCGACGAUCAGUAGCUGGUCUGAGAGGAUGAGCAGCCACACUGGGACUGAGACACGGCCCAGACUCCUACGGGAGGCAGCAGUGGGGAAUUUUCCGCAAUGGGCGCAAGCCUGACGGAGCAAUACCGCGUGAGGGAAGAAGGUCUAAUAGAUUGUCAACCUCUUUUCUCAGGGAAGAAAAAAAUGACGGUACCUGAGGAAUAAGCAUCGGCUAACUCCGUGCCAGCAGCCGCGGUAAUACGGAGGAUGCAAGCGUUAUCCGGAAUUAUUGGGCGUAAAGCGUCCGCAGGUGGUCAAACAAGUCUGCCGUCAAAAACUAGAGCUUAACUCUGGAGAGGCGGUGGAAACUGUAAGACUAGAGACCGGUAGGGGUAGAGGGAAUUCCCAGUGUAGCGGUGAAAUGCGUAGAGAUUGGGAAGAACACCAGUGGCGAAGGCGCUCUACUGGGCCGGAACUGACACUCAGGGACGAAAGCUAGGGGAGCAAAAGGGAUUAGAUACCCCUGUCCUG